Long non-coding RNA from Microtus oregoni (creeping vole), 549 nucleotides. RefSeq lists it as uncharacterized. NCBI's taxonomy places the organism in Eukaryota, Metazoa, Chordata, Mammalia, Rodentia, Cricetidae. The transcript has 4 exons. The record is from RefSeq and is a predicted model, not a curated record.
UGCAGAGAUCCACAACCAAGCACAAAGCCCUGAAGGAUGCCAACUGAAAGGAGUGCUCACUGCUUGUCCCUGAUACCACCUGGAAAACAAGGUGCAUCAAGAAGCAGCAUGUUCAACUCCCACAAGACUAUCCUGCAAAUUUUCCCAGACUUCCUUCCAACAAAGAAACUUGGUUCCUAGCAACAUGGCUAAAUGCACCAAGAAGGUCGGGAUUGUUGGGAAAUAUGGGACUCACGAUGUUGCCUCCCUGUGGAAAAUUGUGAAGAAAAUAGAUAUCAGCCAGCUUGCCAAGUACACAUGCUCCUUCUGUGGCAAGAUCAAGAUGAAGAGAUGAGCCAUUGGCAUCUGGCACUGUGGUUCCUGCACAAAAACAGUGGCUGGCAGAGCCUGAACCUACAACACUACUUCUGCCACCAUAGUGAAGUUUGUCAUUAGUACUGAAGUAACUGAAAGACCAGUAGAAGUGCUAGCAUUUGAGACAGCCUCUGAAUAAAUGGGUUAAUUUACACAACAAAAAAGAAAUUUGCAUUACAUUAUUAAAUGAGCUAU